GCCUGGGUGGCUCAGUCGGUUGAGCGUCCGACUUCGGCUCAGGUCACAAUCUCAUGGACCGUGAGUUCGAGCCCCACGUCGGGCU
RNAcentral lists this transfer RNA (85 nucleotides) under Felis catus (domestic cat). It matches the Rfam family "tRNA". From Rfam's summary of the family: Transfer RNA (tRNA) molecules are approximately 80 nucleotides in length. Their secondary structure includes four short double-helical elements and three loops (D, anti-codon, and T loops). The record is from Rfam by way of RNAcentral. Lineage: Eukaryota; Metazoa; Chordata; Mammalia; Carnivora; Felidae.